GAUGAACGCUGGCGGCGUGCCUAAUACAUGCGAGUCGAGCGAACGGACGAGAAGCUUGCUUCUCUGAUGUUAGCGGCGGACGGGUGAGUAACACGUGGAUAACCUACCUAUAAGACUGGGAUAACUUCGGGAAACCGUAGCUAAUACCGGAUAAUAUUUUGAACCGCAUGGUUCAAAAGUGAAAGACGGUCUUGCUGUCACUUAUAGAUGGAUCCGCGCUGCAUUAGCUAGUUGGUAAGGUAACGGCUUACCAAGGCAACGAUGCAUAGCCGACCUGAGAGGGUGAUCGGCCACACUGGAACUGAGACACGGUCCAGACUCCUACGGGAGGCAGCAGUAGGUAAUCUUCCGCAAUGGGCGAAAGCCUGACGGAGCAACGCCGCGUGAGUGAUGAAGGUCUUCGGAUCGUAAAACUCUGUUAUUAGGGAAGAACAUAUGUGUAAGUAACUGUGCACAUCUUGACGGUACCUAAUCAGAAAGCCACGGCUAACUACGUG
This 497-nucleotide ribosomal RNA is filed under the name uncultured bacterium. RNAcentral's name for it is "partial 16S ribosomal RNA". It matches the Rfam family "Bacterial small subunit ribosomal RNA", at positions 28 to 507 of the family's 1533-position model. The record is from RNAcentral.